Perca fluviatilis (European perch) is the source of this 281-nucleotide long non-coding RNA. RefSeq lists it as uncharacterized. The transcript is spliced from 3 exons. NCBI's taxonomy places the organism in Eukaryota, Metazoa, Chordata, Actinopteri, Perciformes, Percidae. The record is from RefSeq and is a predicted model, not a curated record.
UGCACAGGAUCCAACUUCUUUCCAGGAAAGAUUACGGUGUCUUUAGGGAAGGCUCCAUCAGCACACAGGACGGAGCCAACAGCGACGGUUUCCAGACCUGCCGAGCCUGAUGACUCCUCUGGGAUUGUUGCUUCUGUGAAAGCCAGGCUGAAGGCCCCGCUGCCAGCCCCUUCUACCUCCUCAGCUCAGAUGAUAUGUGGACUUCAGCAUGUGGAGCCAGGCUGUCGUCAUGUUGUGUUAAAUUGUGACAAGCACAGGGUACAGCCCAACAUCCCAGCUGC